Molecule: ribosomal RNA, 444 nt
Filed under: uncultured bacterium
Lineage: Bacteria
Description: bacterial SSU rRNA
Rfam family: Bacterial small subunit ribosomal RNA
Source: RNAcentral
CUACGGGAGGCAGCAGUGAGGGAUCUUCGGCAAUGGGGGCAACCCUGACCGAGCAACGCCGCGUGCGGGAGGACGCCUUUCGGGGUGUAAACCGCUUUUCUGGGGGACGAGGCUAGUACGGACGGUACCCCAGGAAGAAGUCUCGGCUAACUACGUGCCAGCAGCCGCGGUAAUACGUAGGAGACGAGCGUUGUCCGGAGUUACUGGGCGUAAAGGGUGCGCAGGUGGCGGCGCGCGUGGGGGGUGAAAUCGCCCGGCUUAACUGGGCGGGGGCCUUCCAGACGGCGUGGCUUGAGCAGCGGAGGGGGACGUGGAAUUCCGGGUGGAGCGGUGAAAUGCGUAGAGAUCCGGAGGAACACCGACGGCGCAGGCAGCGUCCUGGCCGCUUGCUGACACUGAGGCACGAAAGCUGGGGGAGCAAACAGGAUUAGAUACCCCGGUAGU